Molecule: long non-coding RNA, 361 nt
Filed under: Homo sapiens (human)
Lineage: Eukaryota; Metazoa; Chordata; Mammalia; Primates; Hominidae
Description: non-protein coding lnc-MTHFS-4:1
Source: RNAcentral
AUGGCCCAGGAAGGCAUCAGUGCUGGAGGUGUCAUGGACCUUAAUACUGCUUUACAAGAGGUCCUGAAGGCUGCCCUCAUCCAUGAUGGCCUAGCACGUGGAAUUCGAGAAGCUGCCAAAGCCUUAGACAAGUGCUGGGCCCAUCCUUGUGCUGCCCCCAACUGUAAUGAGCCUGCCUAUGUGGCUGGCUGGUGAAGGCCCUUGUUGCUGAGCACCAGAUCACCCUAAUUAAGGUUGAUGACAAUAAACUAGGGGAAGGGAUGGACCACUGUAAAACUGACAGAAGGAAAACCCCAUAAAGUGGUUGGCUGCAGUUGUGUAGCGUUAAGGACUAUGGCAAAGGAUGUCAUCAAAGAGUUUU